AUGGUUGAACUUGAAAGGCAUGUCAUGUUUCCUGCUGUUUAUCGCCUCAUUGAGUUGGCAUUGCUACUACCAGUAGCGACAGCAACAGUUGAAAGAGCCUUCUCAUCAAUGAAAAUCAUCAAAAUUGACUUGCGUAGCAAGAUGGCUGAUGGCUGGCUUAAUGACUUGAUGGUGUGUUACAUUGAGCAAGAGAUCUUCAAGAGUAUUGAUCUCGGUAAAAUUAAGGAAGAUUUUCAGGAGGGUAGGGCACUGCCAUUGCCUGGGUCUUGUACACGCCAUUAA
Molecule: ribosomal RNA, 282 nt
Filed under: Triticum aestivum (bread wheat)
Lineage: Eukaryota; Viridiplantae; Streptophyta; Magnoliopsida; Poales; Poaceae
Description: partial small subunit ribosomal RNA
Source: RNAcentral